GAAAAAAGUCUAAUGUGGAUUAAAUACAGUUACCCUUAUGUCAUAUGAAAGAUGAAAUGCUGUUAUAGCUUGGAAGUUGAUUUAUCUGAAAGUGCUAUUUACUUUCAUCGGUAUAGAGGCUUUUUCUUUGCUACUUCACUGUACGCAUUCAUUUAAAGUUGAUUCUUCUUGUAGUUUAUUUUGAAUGGCUGGCUAAGAUGUUUUCAUCUGACUAAAUAUUCAUAGAGAAAGCUUUGCAGUUAUAUCGUUUUAUUUGAAUGAAUAAAAAAAUAAAUAUAAUUUCAAUCGAGAAAAACUUCCCUUUCGUUAUCUGCCAUUAGAACGACAAUCUCAGAGAACAAUCAAAUUAUUACUAUACUGCAGAUAUUGAUCUAGGCAGAACUCAGCUACCUUACAUAAUGCUGAAGCUACACAAGGAUUUUACAGCUUAGUGCUUGCACAUGAACAGUGCAGGAGAAGCCAUAGUACUGGAAUCUCUUAAAAAGCCCGGGCCCAUUAUCAGACCUAGCACAAAGUUGCCAUUGAUGGGACUAAAGUGAGGUCAAAUAUUCUAUAUGGAGAAUGAUAAUUUAGGAUAUAAUACCUGUUCUAACUUUGAUGAACAAUUAACUGCACUGGAUAUUAUACAAAACUGGAAAUGUAAAUUCUUUUGUUGAAUCAUGCAAAACUGGAAUGCACAGUCCUAAAGUCAAUGGUAAAAGUUAUUUUUCUUCCUAGGAUAUUUACCUGUUUUAACUUGGACGAAUAAUUAAUUACACUGAGGAUUUCCCUAAGUCCAUCGAGGAAAUAAAAAUUUUGGCAAUGCAAAAUUCUUCCAUU
This 819-nucleotide long non-coding RNA is filed under the name Phoenix dactylifera (date palm). RNAcentral's name for it is "long non-coding RNA (PDAC_LNC003275)". The record is from RNAcentral. Lineage: Eukaryota; Viridiplantae; Streptophyta; Magnoliopsida; Arecales; Arecaceae.